Molecule: ribosomal RNA, 458 nt
Filed under: uncultured bacterium
Lineage: Bacteria
Description: bacterial SSU rRNA
Rfam family: Bacterial small subunit ribosomal RNA
Source: RNAcentral
CUACGGAACUCCUACGGGAGGCAGCAGUGGGGAAUAUUGGACAAUGGGCGCAAGCCUGAUCCAGCCAUGCCGCGUGAGUGAUGAAGGCCUUAGGGUUGUAAAGCUCUUUUAUCCGGGACGAUAAUGACGGUACCGGAGGAAUAAGCCCCGGCUAACUUCGUGCCAGCAGCCGCGGUAAUACGAAGGGGGCUAGCGUUGCUCGGAAUCACUGGGCGUAAAGGGCGCGUAGGCGGCGUUUUAAGUCGGGGGUGAAAGCCUGUGGCUCAACCACAGAAUGGCCUUCGAUACUGGGACGCUUGAGUAUGGUAGAGGUUGGUGGAACUGCGAGUGUAGAGGUGAAAUUCGUAGAUAUUCGCAAGAACACCGGUGGCGAAGGCGGCCAACUGGACCAUUACUGACGCUGAGGCGCGAAAGCGUGGGGAGCAAACAGGAUUAGAUACCCCUGUAGUCCUCUUCGA